GUUAGGAAUCUUCCACAAUGGGGGCAACCCUGAUGGAGCAACACCGCGUGCUGGAUGAAGGCCUUCGGGUCGUAAACAGCUUUUGUAUACGAUGAAUAUGACGGUAAUAUACGAAUAAGGGUCGGCUAACUACGUGCCAGCAGCCGCGGUCAUACGUAGGACCCAAGCGUUAUCCGGAGUGACUGGGCGUAAAGAGUUGCGUAGGCGGCUUAUUAAGCGAGUAGUGAAAUCUGGUGGCUCAACCAUCAACACAUUGCUCGAACUGAUAGGCUUGGGAAUGGUAGAGGUAGUUGGAAUUUCUUGUGUAGGAGUGAAAUCCGUAGAUAUAAGAAGGAACACCAAUGGCGUAGGCAGACUACUUGACCAUUUCUGACGCUGAGGCACGAAAGCGUGGGGAGCGAACCGGAUUAGAUACCCUUGUAGUCC
Molecule: ribosomal RNA, 426 nt
Filed under: uncultured bacterium
Lineage: Bacteria
Description: partial 16S ribosomal RNA
Rfam family: Bacterial small subunit ribosomal RNA
Source: RNAcentral